RNAcentral lists this ribosomal RNA (887 nucleotides) under uncultured organism. Its description in RNAcentral is "bacterial SSU rRNA". It matches the Rfam family "Bacterial small subunit ribosomal RNA", at positions 39 to 946 of the family's 1533-position model. The record is from RNAcentral.
GCGGCGUGCCUAAUACAUGCAAGUCGAGCGAUGAGGCUCCUUCGGGAGUACAUCAGCGGCGAACGGGUGAGUAACACGUGGGUGACUUGCCCCGAAGAUGGGGAUAACCUCUGGAAACGGGGGCUAAUACCCAAUGUGCUCGGUGAUUCGGUUCAUCGAGUAAAGCUCCGGCGCUUCGGGAGAGGCCUGCGGCCCAUCAGCUAGUUGGUAGGGUAACGGCCUACCAAGGCAGAGACGGGUAGGGGGCGUGAGAGCGCGGACCCCCACACUGGCACUGAGAUACGGGCCAGACUCCUACGGGAGGCAGCAGUAAGGGAUAUUGCGCAAUGGACGAAAGUCAGACGCAGCGACGCCGCGUGGGCGAUGAAGGCCUUCGGGUUGUAAAGCCCUUUUAUGGGGGAAGAGAAAAAGGACGGUACCCCAGGAAUAAGUCCCGGCUAACUACGUGCCAGCAGCCGCGGUAAAACGUAGGGGACAAGCGUUAUCCGGAUUCACUGGGCGUAAAGAGCGUUGAGGCGGUUCCGUAAGUUGGGCGUGAAAGCUCCGGGCUUAACUCGGAGAUGUCGUUCAAUACUGCGGGGCUUGAGGACAGCAGAGGAAGGUGGAAUUCCCGGUGUAGUGGUGAAAUGCGUAGAUAUCGGGAGGAACACCCGUGGCGAAGGCGGCCUUCUGGGCUGUUCCUGACGCUGAAGGCGAAAGCUAGGGGAGCGAACGGGAUUAGAUACCCCGGUAGUCCUAGCUGUAAACGAUGGAUGCUGGGUGUGGGGGGUGUACAUUCCCUCUGUGCCGAAGCAAACGCGUUAAGCAUCCCGCCUGGGGACUACGGACGCAAGGCUNAAACUCAAACGAAUUGACGGGGGCCCGCACAAGCAGCGGAGCGUGUGGUU